This 253-nucleotide ribosomal RNA is filed under the name uncultured bacterium. RNAcentral's name for it is "partial 16S ribosomal RNA". It matches the Rfam family "Bacterial small subunit ribosomal RNA", at positions 524 to 776 of the family's 1533-position model. The record is from RNAcentral.
UCCGAAGGGAGCUAGCGUUGUUCGGGAUCACUGGGCGUAAAGCGCACGUAGGCGGAUGUGCCAGUCAGGGGUGAAAUCCCGGAGCUCAACUUCGGAACUGCCCUUGAUACAGCACGUCUUGAGUCCGAGAGAGGUGGAUGGAAUUCCUAGUAUAGAGGUGAAAUUCGUAGAUAUUAGGAAGAACACCGGUGGCGAAGGCGGUCCACUGGCUCGGUACUGACGCUGAGGUGCGAAAGCGUGGGGAGCAAACAGG